CAAAAUGUGUCCUUCAGUUGUAAUAAACGGUGGGAGAGUGCAGGAGAGAAAAAGGUCCCAGCAAUUUCUGAUGCCGGAUGUGCACCUAAUUGCAAUAUUGACAAGAGAAAAGAUGGGCCAAUUUGAGUGUGCCAGUGUGAUCUUCCAGCUGGAUUAUGCCAUUAUAAACAAGACGGGCUUGCCUACGUUGGAAAUAAGGAUGUUCAGUUUGCAGUAAAUUCUGUUCAGAGCCCAAAGUUGAGCCCAGGGACCCCAGCAGCAUAAUCAAGGCCGUGAUUGAUGAGAUGUCAGCGACUGUUAGACAUAGUGUGUGACGCAUCCAGUCACGGGGGACCUGAGUGUUUGUCAUAAUGUCACAGCACCUGCUGCUGCUGCUACCUUGGGGUGUUGGGAAAAGGGAUGCGCCUGACGUGGCCGUCCCCUCCCCCAGCGCCCCGCAAGUGUUCGAGAGGAAGGCCGCGGGGGUAUCUGCCAUCAGGAAAGACAAAAUGGAGCCACGCAGGGGAAAGCAGCAUGGGGUGGGGGAAGGUGGCACGUUUCCGGCGCAGGGAGAGGAAGAACAGUCAGUUUGAGGAAGGAAAAAAAAAUAAGACAAUUUUCCAAAGCAAUCGUGUGGUCUUUAAAAUAUUGUUAUGUAAAUGAAUCUAAUGUGUCUCUAAAUUCAUUAAGUGGGUUGGAGGGUUACUAGCCCUGGAGGGCCCCAGCGAAAUUGGCAGAGACAUUUUCACUGUCUAGGUUGUGGUUGUUGACCUUUUCUUCUGUCUUGCUUACCCUUUCCUAGGGAGGAGGCAGGAACUCGAGGGGCUUAUCGGAGUGGCAGAAGGAAAGCCCCCACUGAAAAUGCCUGUUAUGCGCCUUCUGGGAACCGUCCUCCUCUUUCACUUCCUCCCAGCCCCAGCUGGAAUUCCCAAAUGUAGCCUAAACCAGUACCAUACCUGCUAGACAAAUUGUAUAAAUUAGACAUCCCUAAGAGGGAGGAGAAUUUUGGAUGGGGAGCAAAUAAAGGAAAAGGAAGCUGCCAAAACAGUGAGUCUUGGUCAGAAUUUCACAGUCAUUUCUCAGGUCUGGGUUGGAGGAUGUAAACACAGGGGAAGUCAAGACAGAUUGUUGCCAUCCUAGCUACUUUUUGUAAUUGGGAAGCAUGUAAAGAUUGACUCCUUUUUCUUGCGUCCUUCAAAGAGCACGAAAAGUGGGGCAGUAAGUAUUCAAAAGCAUCUGUUUCCUGCCUGAACCCCUCUGAGUACCAGAGGGGGCCAGCAGAAGAACCUGCCAUGGUCCGUAAACAUGCAGGGAAGGCUGUGACAUAGGAAGCCAGGCCCACAGCUGAGCCUCCCAAGGAUGAAGAUAGGCAUUCAUCGAAAAACUGUUUUUGUGUUUCUUCCAGUACUGCUACUUUUUAAGUAUAAUUUACAUACAAUAAAAUGCAGAUUUUUAAGUAUACUGAUCUAUGGAUUUUGACAAGUAUGUACACCCAUGGAACCCACCACCCAUCAAGAAACAGAACUUAGGCCGGGCAUGGUGGCUCACGCCUGUAAUCCCAGCACUUUGGGAGGACGAGGCAGGCGGAUCACCUGAGGUCAGGAGUUCAAGACCAGCCUGACCAAUAUAUAGUGAAACCCCAUCUCUACUAAAAAAAAAUACAAAAAUUAGCUCGGUAUGGUGGCACAUGCCUGUAAGUCCCAGCUACUUGGGAAGCUGAAGCAGGAGAAUCGGUUGAACAUGGGAGACGGAGGUUGCAGUGAGCCGUGAGCCGUGAUUGCACCACUGCACUCCAGCCUGGGUGACAGAAUAAGACUCUGUCUCUAAAAAAAAAAAAAAAAAGAACUUGUUCAUCACUGCAGCAGAUUCCCUCGUGCCCUUUGUUUCAAUCUUCCUCUCAUCAAAGGACACCUCUGAUGGAUCUGCCUUCUGUCAUUACAGAUUAGUUUGCAUUUUCUAAUGUCAUAUUAAUGAAACUACACAGUAUGUAGUCAUUUUCUGGCUUUGUUUGCUUAGAAUGAUGUUUUUGAAGAUCACCCAUGUAGGAACAUAUAUCGAGAGCAUCUAUAUGUAGUUUGUUUCAUUUUAUUGGUGAGUAACAUUCCAUGAUAUGGUUAUACCGCCAUUUGUUUAUGCAUUCAUCUGUUGAUAGACAUUUGGGCUGUAUAUUGGUUUGUGGCUCUUAUGAGUAAAGUUGCAAUGAAUAUUCUUUUAGAUUUAUCUGGAUGGAUGUAUCUUUUCAGUUCUCUUGGAUAAAUACCUGGGAGUGAAAUUGAUGGGUCAUAGGGUAGGUGAACGAAUUUAACAUUAUUGGGAACUGCCAAACAAUUUAGCAAAAGGUUUGCACCAUUUAUCAUUCCAUCACAGCAGUAUUUGAGAGUUCCAGCUGCUCCACAUCUCCUCCAAUUACAGUAUUGGUAUUGCUAGUCUUGUUUGCUUUAGCCAUUGUAGUAGGUGAGAAGUAGUAUCUGAUUUCAGCCAAACAUUUUCAAAGCAGUCAUUUUCCUGGGGACCUAUUGCUGAAUUCUAGCAGAUUUUUAGCUGGGCUAUGAAAGGUAGAAUUACAAUAGGAAAAAGGUUUAUAUUUAGAGUCAGUCUGCAUAUUCAUAUUUUUAAAAGAAAACCUCUAAGCAGCAAUUUGAGUUUAAUAUUUCUCCCCAGAAGUCUAGUUUCCUUAACAGCUGUUUAUAAAUAUUUACCUUCACAUUUUUAAUGACGACAAUGUAUAUAGCACAAAUACCAGGAGCUUUAAGGUAUAAAUAUUCAACACAGAGGUUUCCAGUUGUUUCUAUGUAGGACACAGAGACCUGUCUUCACAUACAGGUCUAUGGAAGGCUUGCUGGCAGUAAAGGUGGAUAAGAACUGAUGCCCUAGAGAAUAAACUUCCCUGGUUUGGGUCUUUUCUUUGCCAGGGGUGUGAUUUAAGGCAAGUUAUCUUGCCUCUGUAAUGUAUCAUAAUAUCUGAUAUGGUUUGACUGUGUCCCCACCCAAAUCUCAUCUUGAAUUGUAAUCCCCAUAAUCCCCAUGUGUCAUAGGAAGGACCCAGUGGGAAAUGAUUGGAUCAUGGGGACGGUUUCCCCCAUGCUGUUCUCGUGAUGGUGAGUGAGUUCUCAGGAGAUCUGAUGGUUUUAUAAGCAUCUGGCAUUUCCUCUGCUUGCACUCACUCUCUCUCCUUUCGCCUUGUGAGGAAGGUGCCUGCUUUCGCUUCAUCUUCCACCAUGAUUGUAAGUUUCCUGACGCCUCUCCAGCCAUGCAGAACUGUGAGUCAAUUUAACCUCUUUUCUUUAUAAAUUACCCAGUUUCGCCAGUCUCAGGCAUUUCUUUAUUGCAGCAUGAGAACAGACUAAAAAAAUACCCUCCUCCAUAAACUGGGAUAAUCAUAUAUCUACCUCCUGGGCAUGCAUCUAAAACUUGAAACCACUGCCUGGCACAUGGGAAAUGCACAAUAAAUGCAAAAACAUUCAAAAAAGCUAAUUUUUAAAAGUGAUUUGCCCUCUAUCAUUCUCCUUUUCUCCAUUGAACAUAACUGCAGGGCUGAUCUGGCAUCUCAAGGCCACCUGGAAUGAAGUGCUGAGUCUAAGGGUCCAUAGGCAGCUGGCAUGUGAUGUGAUUCCAAGCUUCUAAAGAAAUGCUCAGGAGAAAUAUAUCUCUGGAAAUGGGACCUGGAGGGAUUUGUGUAGCCUUUGAUAUUUCAUGCACACUUCAGUGAAGCUCCUGAAAUUGUGUACAAAACUCAUAGGAUUUUUUUUUUUUAACCUGUAGCUUGCAGCAGAUUCUCCAAGGAGACUGGGACCUCAGGGUCUUUUGGAUCCACUGCAAAAUAAGGUAGGACCAUUGAAGGGUAUGGAACAGAUUUUGGAAAAAGAGAGU
Molecule: long non-coding RNA, 3849 nt
Filed under: Homo sapiens (human)
Lineage: Eukaryota; Metazoa; Chordata; Mammalia; Primates; Hominidae
Description: HSALNT0264469
Source: RNAcentral